ACUUGUACAAAGCAAGGGUCCAAGUACCCAAUGUGACAUCCCUGAAGAUUGAGAACCUGACCCCACAGGACAGUGGGUGAUACAAGGCACACGGCAGGUUAACUGAUGGAACAGAAUUUUUCCAAAAUUUCCACCUCAAGGUCUAUGGGAAGCAUCUGACACGAAGAGCAGCCUUCACAGCUGGAAGUCCCCCGUGUCUUCCAGGGCUGGCUGGUGAAUCUGACUCUUGUCUUCCUGUCUGGAGCACAAGUCAGGGCAUAUUCUAGCCAUAUACGGAGCUGUUACCCUGAUCAUGACAAGUGCAUCUCCACAAAUGUCUCUGCUUUGGAGAGAUGGAGCUUUUCUGUGUCCUCUCAGAGAUGGUCCGAUGUCCUGCUCUGUGAUGCCAGUGCUGCCCCAGGCAAUGUCUCAGCUGGAGCUGCAGGAAAGGAAAGGUUACCGCAUCAGGAGGACCUCUUCAGUCUCAGACCUUUUCCCAUUCCAGAAAGGACCAAAUUUGUUAUUAAUAAUGAUCCAGGGAAGGAGGAAUCCAACCAUUCUGUUCUUAUGGAAAGAUCUGAAGACUUGCUUAGUUAGGGAAAUCACAUGAGGCUUCUCAUUGGAUACUGUCACUUGCUCAACAUUGAGCUUGAGAGCCUGUGUCCCCCCACUGAUCCUAGUCAAGGCUUUGUCCAUUACACCAGGCUGGUGCAAUGUCACCCUGGACUGCAGGGCCACAGGGGCCACAGAGGACCUGAAUGUGACCUGGGAGAGCAAGGGCCUUCCCAGGGAGCUGGAGCUGAGAGGGACACCAGGACCAGGCCCCAACCCCUGGGCCCAGGCUGUGAGCCUGCCCCUGAGCGAGGCCAACGCCAGCCUCAACUGUGUGGUCAGCAACCCCAUGGACCAGAACAAUGCCACCUCAGGACUUGGUGACAUUUGUUCAUGAGGUGAGUGCUGAGCUGGGUGUGGUGGCACAUGCCUGUCACCCCAGCACUUGGGAGGCUGAGGCAGGACGAUCGUUUUGAGUUUGAGACCAACCUGCACUACAAAGUGAGCUCUAGGCCGACCUGAACUUCAUAGUGAGGAGCUGUCUCAAAAAGACAAAAAAAAACCAACAGAACACCAGGUGAGUGCCAGCUCUUGGCCAUUAGGCUGUCAGGAAGCUCAGGGAGCAGUGAGUCUGAGUCGCCCAGACUUUCCUCCCUGCCAUGUUCUUUAGGACCAUCCACCUGCACAUGGUCACACCGUGCAGAAGUCUGGGGUCACAUCCCACUGACAUCUGCCUGUAAAUGUCCCUCACAUCCCUGUCCCUCCCUGCUGGUCCCGGCAGCAGCCAUCCAAUGUCUCUCCCGCUCUGGGUACAGAGUGGGCUUUGCAAAAGCAGAUCAGACUGUGGCAUAUGUCAGGGUCAUCUCUGCAUCUGACCUUCAGUUACUCCUGUAGGACUCAGGGCUCACACGUUCUCUGCCCACGUAGUCCAUUCAUGAGUACCCUUCACACAGAACUGCUGCUGUAGCCCCUCAAUCUGCACUGCCACUGAGAGUCUUGAAGGUGUCAGCUCUUCUAGGCAGCUGUGCAGGACAACCCACACUUAGUAACUGUGCACUCUUGUGUUUGAAUCCUGCAUAGAAUAGAAAUCCUGGAGAUCAGGGUCACGUGUUUGCACCUUUUCAAUUCUCCCCACAACAGCUCUGGACAAUGUCUGUGCAUUAAAGGGGUUUCAUUAAAUGCACAACGGACCUGGGACCUGUGUGUGGCCUCCUCUUCUCUGACGUUUCUUCCAGAAGCUGCUGGAGAAUCUACUAUGUCACAGUCAACUGUAACCCCUAGGCACAUUGCCCACACACCUCUUAUUCUGAAUACUCAAAUAAAUUUCUCUACCAAAUAUGGCCCAGGAUACACUCUGGACUCCCCUCUUGCCCUCCUUUGACCCUAGAUAGUUAGCUUUUCCCUCCCUGCUAGAAUAAUCUAGAAAACACCCACUUUCUUGCCAGACUCACUUACCCAGGACCGUCUAGAGAGGCCCUUCCCCUGCCUUGUACAAGGUGAAACCUCAGUCGCAGCGAGAUGUCUCUGGCUGGUAGUUGAUAUUUUCUUUCUUCCUUCCCUGAGGAGAAGCUCCCACAGCUGACCUCAUUGGAGGCAUCUUCAGGGGAAUCACAGCGGUGCUGUUCUUCCUGGGAGCUGGACUGUGCCUGAGGAGAACUCGAGACAAAAAGAAGAUGAUGGAAACAGAAGUGGCAGGUUGCACUUCUCCUUAUGGGCAAUGACCUCCUCUCUCCCAGUGCACCCUGGGCUUUUCCCUCCUGCACUUUGCUACCAGGAAGUGGGUCCUGCAGAG
Molecule: long non-coding RNA, 2323 nt
Organism: Chinchilla lanigera (long-tailed chinchilla)
Lineage: Eukaryota; Metazoa; Chordata; Mammalia; Rodentia; Chinchillidae
Source: Ensembl